Molecule: unclassified non-coding RNA, 249 nt
Filed under: Diaporthe sp.
Lineage: Eukaryota; Fungi; Ascomycota; Sordariomycetes; Diaporthales; Diaporthaceae
Description: partial contains small subunit ribosomal RNA, internal transcribed spacer 1, and 5.8S ribosomal RNA
Rfam family: Eukaryotic small subunit ribosomal RNA (bases 1-46)
Source: RNAcentral
AAGUCGUAACAAGGUCUCCGUUGGUGAACCAGCGGAGGGAUCAUUGCUGGAACGCGCUUCGGCGCACCCAGAAACCCUUUGUGAACUUAUACCUAUUGUUGCCUCGGCGCAGGCCGGCCUCUUCACUGAGGCCCCCUGGAGACAGGGAGCAGCCCGCCGGCGGCCAACCAAACUCUUGUUUCUACAGUGAAUCUCUGAGUAAAAAACAUAAAUGAAUCAAAACUUUCAACAACGGAUCUCUUGGUUCUG